RNAcentral lists this ribosomal RNA (281 nucleotides) under uncultured prokaryote. Its description in RNAcentral is "partial 16S ribosomal RNA". It matches the Rfam family "Bacterial small subunit ribosomal RNA", at positions 524 to 803 of the family's 1533-position model. The record is from RNAcentral.
UACGUAGGGAGCUAGCGUUAUCCGGAAUUACUGGGCGUAAAGGGUGCGUAGGUGGUUUCUUAAGUCAGAGGUGAAAGGCUACGGCUCAACCGUAGUAAGCCUUUGAAACUGGGAAACUUGAGUGCAGGAGAGGAGAGUGGAAUUCCUAGUGUAGCGGUGAAAUGCGUAGAUAUUAGGAGGAACACCAGUUGCGAAGGCGGGUCUCUGGGCCUUACCUGACGCUGAGGAGCGAAAGCAUGGGUAGCCAACAGGAUUAGAUACCCCUGUAGUUCCUGAGCGGG